CGAGUCUACCAGACGAGAUUGAAGUCACCAAAGCGCAGGCACUAAGUCUAGCGGAUGAGAACUGGAACAAGUUUUAUCAAGAGAUAUACGCGGCCGAAGCAGACACUUAUGGAAUAAUCAUGAAUUCCUUCCAAGAGUUGGAGCCUGAGUAUGCAAGCAUAUACAAGAAGCAUAGAAAGGAUAAAGUGUGGUGCGUUGGUCCGGUGUCAUUAAGCAACAAAGAUCAAUUGGACAAGGCUCAAAGAGGCAACAUGGUUUCAACUGAAGAGUGGAUGCACCAAAAAUGGCUUGAUUCUCAAAAGCCUAAGAGUGUAAUUUAUGUAUGUCUUGGAAGUUUAUGUAAUCUAACUGCAACUCAGUUGAUUCAGAUUGGUUUAGCCUUAGAAGAAUCAAAAAGACCUUUUAUUUGGGUCAUAAGAAAAGGAAGUCAAUCAGAAGUGCUAGAAAAGUGGAUUAAGGAAGAUGGGUUUGAAGAAAGAAUCAAAGAUCAGAGCCUUAUAAUUCGAGGUUGGGCUCCUCAACUGCUAAUACUAUCACAUCCUUCAAUCGGAGGGUUCUUGACACAUUGUGGCUGGAACUCUAACUUAGAAGCUAUAUGUGCUGGUGUGCCAAUGCUGACAUGGCCCUUAUUUGGCGACCAGUUUCUGAAUGAAAAACUAGUUGUCAAAGUACUAAAAGUUGGAGUGAUGAUUGGUGCGAAAAGUCCUAUGGAGUGGGGGAAAGAAGAGGAGGUUGGUGAACUGGUUAGGAAAGAAGAUAUUAAAAUAGGAAUAGAAAAGUUAAUGGAUGGGAAUAAUGGUGAAUGUGAAGAGAGAAGAGAAAGGGUAAGAAAGUUAGCGGAAAUGGCUAAAAUAUCUGUAGCAGAAGGUGGAUCUUCUCAUAGUAACUUGACUAUGUUUAUCCAAGAUAUUUUGCAUAAAAGCUUGGGGGCCGUAUAUGAUAAUCUAGUUGACAAAAACUAAUGGCACAAUAUCUGUUUGCAUAUGUAUGAUUAUUCUGUUCCAUAGUGCUAUUAAUAUGGAAUAAAUAUCAAUAUGGAGGCUCCCAACAAGGAACUUAUGUUUAUUUGGAAAGCAUGCCAUAAAUUAGUACCGUAUUAGGAAAUCUUUGUAAGAAAAAAAUUAAUAAAUAAUCCUGUAUGCCCAAUUUGUAAUUAUGAGCCUGAAACUAUUAAACAUUGUCUAUUAAGAUGUCAAUGUACAUAUCUCCUAGUGAGCAGAAUGUUUGAUCUCUAAACAAUUGGUUAUUAAAACUUAAUUCAACGGAUGAGGGACUUGGGCAGAUUUCGCUGGCAGCAAAUGUUAUUUGGGAAAUUUGGAAAUCUAGAAAUGAAUCUGUUUAAAACAGUUUCUAAUCCACAGAACAAAAUCAUCAAAGCAAACAUACUUUAAAGAGAAGGAAUAAAACAACCCAAGCAAUUCGAGAUCAAGAUCAAAAUCAAAGAAAAGAGGGAUUUACCGUUUGGAGGCCUCCGCCGCAGAUUGUUUGAAGUUGGUGUUUGGGCGGCUAGAAUGACAAAUUCAGUUGCCCAAUUGCAUCUGAAACAGUGCCUUCCAUUGACUUGAGGUCGAGCAUGGUUAAGGGAGAAGAUAAAUUGCUUCAUUGCUUGCAUGCUUUCAUUUGUGUGAGUGGAAAUAUGCUUUCUUUUUCUCUCCUCCUCUAGUGUUUGUUAUUUUCUUUCAAUUGAGACCUCUCUUAUAAGUUAUAACCCCCAAACUCAAUU
RNAcentral lists this long non-coding RNA (1723 nucleotides) under Arachis ipaensis. RNAcentral's name for it is "long non-coding RNA (AIPA_LNC002562)". The record is from RNAcentral. Lineage: Eukaryota; Viridiplantae; Streptophyta; Magnoliopsida; Fabales; Fabaceae.